UACGUAGGGUGCGAGCGUUGUCCGGAAUUACUGGGCGUAAAGAGCUCGUAGGCGGUUUGUCGCGUCUGCUGUGAAAGACCGGGGCUCAACUCCGGUUCUGCAGUGGGUACGGGCAGACUAGAGUGCAGUAGGGGAGACUGGAAUUCCUGGUGUAGCGGUGAAAUGCGCAGAUAUCAGGAGGAACACCGAUGGCGAAGGCAGGUCUCUGGGCUGUAACUGACGCUGAGGAGCGAAAGCAUGGGGAGCGAACAGG
RNAcentral lists this ribosomal RNA (253 nucleotides) under uncultured bacterium. RNAcentral describes it as "partial 16S ribosomal RNA". It matches the Rfam family "Bacterial small subunit ribosomal RNA", at positions 524 to 776 of the family's 1533-position model. The record is from RNAcentral.